RNAcentral lists this ribosomal RNA (468 nucleotides) under uncultured bacterium. Its description in RNAcentral is "partial 16S ribosomal RNA". It matches the Rfam family "Bacterial small subunit ribosomal RNA", at positions 28 to 507 of the family's 1533-position model. The record is from RNAcentral.
GACGAACGCUGGCGGCGUGCUUAACACAUGCAAGUCGAACGGAAAGGCCCUGCUUUUGUGGGGUGCUCGAGUGGCGAACGGGUGAGUAACACGUGAGUAACCUGCCCUUGACUUUGGGAUAACUUCAGGAAACUGGGGCUAAUACCGGAUAGGAGCUCCUGCUGCAUGGUGGGGGUUGGAAAGUUUCGGCGGUUGGGGAUGGACUCGCGGCUUAUCAGCUUGUUGGUGGGGUAGUGGCUUACCAAGGCUUUGACGGGUAGCCGGCCGGAGAGGGUGAACGGCCACAUUGGGACUGAGAUACGGCCCAGACUCCUACGGGAGGCAGCAGUGGGGAAUAUUGCACAAUGGGCGGAAGCCUGAUGCAGCAACGCCGCGUGCGGGAUGACGGCCUUCGGGUUGUAAACCGCUUUCGCCUGUGACGAAGCGUGAGUGACGGUAAUGGGUAAAGAAGCACCGGCUAACUACGUG